This is a long non-coding RNA of Gorilla gorilla gorilla (western lowland gorilla), 674 nucleotides long. RefSeq lists it as uncharacterized. The record is from RefSeq and is a predicted model, not a curated record. Lineage: Eukaryota; Metazoa; Chordata; Mammalia; Primates; Hominidae. The transcript is spliced from 3 exons.
AGAGAUGGAGUCUUACUCUGUUCCCAUGCUGGUCUCAAACUCCUGGGCUCAAGUGAUUCUCCAGCAUCAGCCUCCACAGUAGCUGGGACUGCAGCCACGUGAGGUUAGGGGCUACCAUAAUGGAUGACACAGAUCUAAGACUUCUGGACAUCUUGCAGAACAUCACAUUUAUCCAUUACAUCAAUGACAUCAUGUUGACUGGGCUGGAAGAAGAAGAGGUUUUCAACACAUGCUAUUUCAUCUUCCUCUGCCUGGUCCAGUGCCUCUGUUUCCUCCAACUUGAAGCUCCCUAGACCCCAAUUCAUCCAGUUGAGCAAGUAGAAUUCACUCCACCUGGGUUCCCAUCCAAUGGGCCUAGUCACUUUGCAAAGCUAAAACAAUCUGCUGCAAGCAACUCACUUAAGGGAGAGGCAAUUUGUAUUAGAAAGAUUAGUGCUGACUUUCAUCCACAGCAAAACCAUUUUGCUACAACACAGCCCUUUUUGUAAGCAGGAGCCCGAUCCUGCCACAGAGCCGAGCGUGAAUGCUGCUGAUCUCCUUGGACAAGACUGCUGGGGCCUUUGGGAAGAGCAUGUGGCCACAUGUCAGUUUGCUUCUUUGACAAGUCUCUACUGUCUUUACCCCAGAAAGCCUGGACAAUUGUAUUUUGUAAAAUAUUUUCAAAUCUGCUUCCA